GAUUAAUGAAACAUUAUGGAAUGUAUUUAAUUAAAUACGCCUGUGUAUUAUUUUUAAAAACAAAUCAUUCUUUUGUGCGAAAAUAAGCUAUAAACUCGAUAAUAAUUCAGCCAAUUGAAAAUAUGGUAUGUAAAAUCAGAAAGGGACUUACAUAAUUCGCUGGUAUGGCAGCACUGUAGAGCAGUAACCUUAUCAAUGUUAAAUAUUACGUGUUCCUAACCUAGUUAUAUAGAAAAGUUGAAGUAUAAAAUUUGAGGAUGAUUGAAAAGAUUACACCCCUAACUGUUGUAAUGUCGAUUUGGUUCAGCUGGAUGUUCUAUACAACAGCUACCGAUUUUCGAAGACAUCGCUUUAGCACAAUGCCUUAUUUGUAUCCCCCUGAUAACAUUUAUGUUCGUCAAAUAGAACUGGAUAAGUUGGGUAAAGUGUACAAAUACAAAGAACAUCUAACCAAGAGCAUGUACGAAUAAGGCACUGAAGCAUAAAAAUUCUUUAUAUCCUUAAUAAAUAAAUUUAAUAGUAUAUAUGUAUAUAUCAAAAAUUAUAGCUGUUGUAGUUAUAAUAACAUUCAAUAAACCACAAUACAAAAAAUA
This is a long non-coding RNA of Bombus pascuorum, 593 nucleotides long. RefSeq lists it as uncharacterized. The transcript has 2 exons. NCBI's taxonomy places the organism in Eukaryota, Metazoa, Arthropoda, Insecta, Hymenoptera, Apidae. The record is from RefSeq and is a predicted model, not a curated record.